CUCCGUGUCGUGAGAUGUUGGGUUAAGUCCCGCAACGAGCGCAACCCUUAUCCCUAGUUGCCAUCAGGUAAAGCUGGGAACUCUGGGGAGACUGCCGGUGAUAACCGGAGAAGGCGGGGAUGACGUCAAGUCCUCAUGGCCCUUACAUCCCGGGCUACACACGUGCUACAAUGGCAGGUACAGAGGGCUGCGAAGCCGCGAGGUGGAGCGAAUCCCAGAAAACCUGUCUCAGUCCGGAUUGAAGUCUGCAACUCGACUUCAUGAAGGCGGAAUCGCUAGUAACCGCGAAUCAGCAGGUCGCGGUGAAUACGUUCCCGGGCCUU
RNAcentral lists this ribosomal RNA (323 nucleotides) under uncultured Latescibacterota bacterium. RNAcentral describes it as "bacterial SSU rRNA". It matches the Rfam family "Bacterial small subunit ribosomal RNA", at positions 1059 to 1382 of the family's 1533-position model. Lineage: Bacteria; Pseudomonadati; Candidatus Latescibacterota. The record is from RNAcentral.